Molecule: transfer RNA, 74 nt
Filed under: Balneola sp.
Lineage: Bacteria; Pseudomonadati; Balneolota; Balneolia; Balneolales; Balneolaceae
Description: tRNA-Val
Rfam family: tRNA
About the family: Transfer RNA (tRNA) molecules are approximately 80 nucleotides in length.
Source: RNAcentral
GCGUCCUUAGCUCAGUUGGUUAGAGCGUCACGUUGACAUCGUGGAGGUCACUGGUUCGAAUCCUGUAGGACGCA